Molecule: ribosomal RNA, 253 nt
Filed under: uncultured bacterium
Lineage: Bacteria
Description: partial 16S ribosomal RNA
Rfam family: Bacterial small subunit ribosomal RNA
Source: RNAcentral
GACAGAGGGGGCAAGCGUUGUCCGGAUUUAUUGGGCGUAAAGAGCGUGUAGGCGGCCAUGUAGGUCCGUUGUGAAAACUCGAGGCUCAACCUCGAGACGCCGAUGGAAACCAUGUGGCUAGAGUCCGGAAGAGGAGAGUGGAAUUCCUGGUGUAGCGGUGAAAUGCGCAGAUAUCAGGAAGAACACCCGUGGCUAAGGCGGCUCUCUAGUACGGUACUGACGCUGAGACGCGAAAGCGUGGGGAGCGAACAGG